AGCUUAAAGGGUUUAGGCCUGGCGCCAGCGAUUUUCACCUGUGCGUACACUUGGUUAUACAUGGCUUUAAGGGUGGACACGUAUUUUUCCGUCUCUUCCAAAAACGUCAGGAAAUUAAAAAGAUACGGACAUUCUACCCUAUCAAAGGCUUUCUCCGCAUCUAUCGAUACUAUUACGGUAGGUGUGUCCGUGGUCGUUUGUCACUAAAUUAGGUCGAUGUUUCUUCUGGUGUUCUCAAAUAGUUGUCUGUUGGGUAUGAAACCCACUUGGUCCAGGUGGAUUAGGAUUUUUAAAAAGGUGUUGAGACUGUCAGCCAGACUUUUUGCUAGGAUCUUUAUAUCGUUAUUGAUAAGGGAGAUGAGUCUGUAGUUGUCUGGGAGUAAAGGGUCUCUCCCAGGUUUGUGGAGUAGUAUUAUGUUAGCCAUUGACAUCUCCCUCUCUGGGUUCCC
Non-coding RNA from Pelobates cultripes (western spadefoot toad), 449 nucleotides. The record is from the annotation of a GenBank genome assembly. NCBI's taxonomy places the organism in Eukaryota, Metazoa, Chordata, Amphibia, Anura, Pelobatidae.